This 254-nucleotide ribosomal RNA is filed under the name uncultured bacterium. Its description in RNAcentral is "partial 16S ribosomal RNA". It matches the Rfam family "Bacterial small subunit ribosomal RNA", at positions 524 to 776 of the family's 1533-position model. The record is from RNAcentral.
UACGUAGGGGGCAAGCGUUGUCCGGAAUCAUUGGGCGUAAAGAGCGUGUAGGCGGUCCGGUAAGUCCGCUGUGAAAGUCGGGGGCUCAACCCUCGAAUGCCGGUGGAUACUGUCGGGCUAGAGUGCGGAAGAGGCGAGUGGAAUUCCUGGGUGUAGCGGUGAAAUGCGCAGAUAUCAGGAGGAACACCUAUUGCGAAGGCAGCUCGCUGGGACGUUACUGACGCUGAGACGCGAAAGCGUGGGGAGCAAACGGG